Molecule: RNA transcript, 5608 nt
Organism: Nymphaea colorata (pocket water lily)
Lineage: Eukaryota; Viridiplantae; Streptophyta; Magnoliopsida; Nymphaeales; Nymphaeaceae
Exons: 11
Source: RefSeq, a predicted model, not a curated record
UUGGAUUGGAUCCAGAAAACCACAGUAAUCGCACAAAAUUCAGAUGCGUGAUUAGAUAUAUAUAUAUAUAUGUCGACCGCCAGGGUCUCUCUCGACUCUACAGGGAAGUCCCCCGCUUCCGUCGUCUCUCUCUUCCAAGCUACGGCUUCUUCAUCAUCUUGCUACCCUCUUCUUCGUCUUCGUCGCUCAACGUGGAUUCUUAUCUGCAGCCUCAUCGAUUCCAUUCUCUCUUAUCCCUUUCUCCUCCUUUCACCAUCAAGAAAAACUUGUGUGCGACGCCUCGCUGCGCUUCAGGGAAGAUGUGCCUUCUUCUUCAGUUGCCGAAUCCCUGUCGAAUUAGGGGUUCAGAUUGCUGGUCUCCAGUGGGCGGAUCUUGUCUCUGCUUAUCGGGGCAAAUGCAACCGGGGUUUUCUGUUGCUGAUUAUUAGCUAGGUCUUAAGUGUAGGGUUUGAAGCCGGAGACCUUCAGUAUGGGUUGCUAAGGAUGGAAAUGGAGAGCUCUAGGAGGCCGGCGGACAAAACUAGGGAGCUCGGGCUGAAGAGACCUAGAUUGGCUGAGCAGGCCGAGAGGAAUCGGGCUGGCAGCGCUGAUGGUGCGUUCAUCCCUAGGUUUAGGGUGAGCGACAGGGAGAGAGGCAGUGGCAAGGGAAGGGGUAUUGUUGAUGAGGAGAAGGAAAGGGACGACUUGGGAAGAGGAGCUUACCAUCAGCAGCAGGAGCUCUUGAGUCAGUAUAAGGCGGCGCUCGGAGAGCUAACUUUUAAUUCGAAACCUAUUAUCACGAACCUUACGAUCAUUGCCGGGGAGAACACCCAUGCCGCAAAGGGAAUUUCGGCCACUAUCUGCGGGAACAUUCUAGAGCCAAACUUACAGGUUCCUAGUGAGCAAAAGCUGCCUUCUCUGUAUCUUCUAGACAGUAUUGUAAAGAACAUUGGAGGGGAAUAUGUCAAAUAUUUUGCUGCAAGGCUUCCUGAGGUAUUCUGUAAAGCCUACAGACAGGUUGAUACAACCAUACACCCUAGUAUGCAGCAUCUCUUUAGGACCUGGAAAGGUGUAUUCCCUCCUCCACCACUUCGUGCCAUUGAACAGGACCUUAAUUUUCCUCCUGUAAAUGGUUCAUCUUCUGGAGUCCCUGCAUCUAGGUCUGAUUCUCAAUCUCAGCGCCCAGGACAUGGUAUCCAUGUAAAUCCCAAGUACCUGGAAGCAAGGCAGCGUCUUCAAUCAGGCAGGUCUAGAGGAAUUGAAACUGAAAACAAUGGAAACUUACUGCUGGAGGGAGCAGAAAGGCCUGAACGAACCUCUCUUUCUGAAAGCCCAAAGCCAUGGAUAGAAGCUCCUGCUAAAGUGGCCAGCAUGCAACGUCCUCAAAGGGGAGAACAUUUUGUUGAGUCUUUGUUUGGUAAGAAACCAGACUUGGGAAAUGGAGACUAUGAAUUUAGUUCUGAUUCUGUGAGCCUUCAAGGCAAGGGAAUUACAAGAUCUAGUGAGAGGGACAUUGAGGGGGAUGGAGGCGAUCAGGCUUGGUAUGGAGGAAUAGAAAACAGUGAAACAAGUGCCACAUUUGGUAAAAGGAAUGGCUAUGAUAUGGCAAACUUACCGCCACGGGGUGGAGUCAAUUCCUAUGACAACUACAGAGCUUCAAGAUCUGCCCAAACUUUGCCUCAGCUGAAUUCAGGUUCAACUGUAUCAAGUUUCAGUGGUAGAGGCAUUUCAAGAAAUUGGAAGAACUCUGAGGAAGAAGAAUUCAUGUGGGAUGAUAUGAACUCCAGAACAAUAGAUCUGGGGGGCUCAGAUGCAUUACGGAAAGGUGGCUGGAAUAGCAAUUUGUUUGAAAAGCCUUCAAGUGUACAGAUGCACAAAUGGAUCCAGACAGGGUCUGAAGACUUGGAUUCAAAUUGGAGUCAAAUUGGUAAUUUAUCUCGAUCCAGCAGGCCUAUGGAAGCUGAUGAUGAUCAAUUUCCUUCACACAGGAAUCUUGAAGAGCAGGUUCAACAAUCUUAUAGCCAGAAAGAUGGUGGCUCCAGGGAUAAUCGUGAAGCAUCCGUGGAUUCAUCAUCCGUAGGCCAAGGAGAAGCAGCUUUUGUUCAUCAAACAGGGAGAGUUCCUCGAGAAAAACUGAACCAGUUUCAUACCACAUCUAGGUUACUCAACAUAGAUACUUUAAAUCCUUCAAGCACAGCUUCCAGUGAUGUAGGUCAACUAGAAGGGUGCACUGUUGCUUUAGGUGGUAAUUUACAUUCAAAUGUGGCUCUUCCAUCUAUAGGUAGAGCAGGUGUUGGAGGGCAAGCAGGGCCAGUUGGUCCUUCGAGCUUUGUUGGCCCAUUUGAUGGAAUUCCUGGGCGUCGACAGCAGCAACCUAGGAGGCCUGCAUCACCUUCAAUGCUUACAUCAUUGCACCAGCGCCCACACUCACCAUCUUCAGUAUCUCAUCGUGUUCAUACUGAGGUCCAGCAGCCAUACGGUUUGCCUGAGCAUCACGCGCAAGCAACCUCCUUUCUUCCUGGUAAAAAAUCUUCAAAUGCUGUCAGUCAGUCAGCCACUCCACGACAAGUCCAAGGAAUUAAGGAACUUCCUUAUAUAUCUCAACAUCUCACUCAAGCUAACACGUCAGGCCGCUCACAACUGCACCAGCAAUUGAAGCCUCUUCAGCAUUCUCAUGGUGCAUCUUCUCCAGCACAGCAAGGAAUGCACCUUCCUGUUGUGCAACCAGAACCAUCUCAAACAGCCAGGCAGUCAUGGCAGCCACAAGCACAACCUCAAGGUUUUGGACUCCAAGCUACAGGAUACUCUAGUUCAGGUCUCCUUAAGAAGUCUUGUGGGGGCCUUCCAGCUGAAUCAAGCGCAGACAGGGUAAUGGCUGCUAUUCUGAAGAGUGGCUUGCUACCUGCACAGACUGCUUUGUCAACCGAUGUGCCUAAAAGCCCUACCGGUUUCUCAAGCACGAAUUGUCCUGAGGCUGGGCAAUCACAAUUACAUUUAAAUGUACAGCCCCCUCUGCCUAAUGGACCUCCACCUGUUCAAUUGUCAGCAUCCUCACACACUGCAUCUUUGUCUACAUCUAUUGUAGGUUCAGGUCCACUGGGUGCAUUGCCAGCUGUGUGCUUGCCUCUUUCUGGAACUUCUCAGCCCCCAUUGCCACCUGGUCCUCCGCCUGUGUCUUCACAGAGUUCAAGUUCUGGAAAGGUUGCAAAAAAUCCGCUUUCGAGUUUGUUGAGCUCUUUAGUUGCUAAAGGUUUGAUAUCCACAUCAGCACCAGAGUUAUCAAAGCCUACUCCAGUUCAGGUGCCAAAUCAGAUUGAAGACCAGAGUGAUGGCCGUGCUGCCACCUCAAAUUUGGCUUCAACAGUUUCUCCUUUUACUCCUCCAGAUGGUGAGCUCUCUGUUUCUGAGUCUAGUUCAAUGCCUUCUGGUCGUUCAAAUGCAUCAACUGAAAUCAAGGGCAGAGUUGGAAUUGAGUUUAAGCCGGCAAUCAUCCGGAGGUUUCACUUGUCUGUCAUCAAUGGUCUAUUUGAUGAACUUCCACAUCAAUGCAGUAUGUGUGGCCUUCGAUUCAAAUUUGAACACAAUCUUAGCAAACACCUUAACUGGCAUGCUUCAAGUAAGCUUAAACUUGAGAAAGGUAAGAGAAUAUCAAGAAUGUGGUACCUUAGUUGGAGGGACUGGGUUGAGGGGGCUUCUGGUCCAUCCUCUGUCCCAAUCCAUAGCCCAGAAAAGGAAAUGGUGCUGCUUGAACCAAUGGUUCCUGCUGAUGAAAGCCAAAGUAUAUGUAUAUCAUGUGGGGAGCCGUUUGAAGAUUUUUAUUGUCACAAGAGGGACGAGUGGAUGUUUAAAGGGGCAAUAUAUAUGACUCUCCCUACUGAUGGUUCUGCUGGCAAGAACUUACAGAAGUUAAUUGUGCAUGCCAACUGCAUCACAGAAAGCACCAUUGACGGUUCUGCUGGCAAGAACUUACAGAAGUUAAUUGUGCAUGCCAACUGCAUCACAGAAAGCACCAUUGACAGCUUAAAGGCGCCUCAGACUAGUCAUAUGGACCAGGCAAGUAGAUGACAUGUAUACAUGAAAAAUUCCAGGUUAUUCUUUCUAUGGCAGGUGCAAAUGGGGAAACAGGGCCCAGAAUAUUCUCCUUUGCAAGAAGUUGCUACUGCAGACUUAUUUCAGUUUGACACUAAUGAAGUACAGUGUGGAAUAAGGCUUUUCGCGUUGUACAAGCAUAGGACCAACAACUCUCGGAAGCACUUCUUCAGCAUAUCCAAGCUCGGACUCCAAGUGGAUUAUCAUGGGAAUUGAAGGAUUAAUUGCAGAGGUAUCCACCCAACCUCUUGCAGUGCAGUUAGUCAGCACUGGAGGUGAUGCUACUGAGUUCGUUCUUCUUGGAGCGCUGUCAGAGACAGUCCAGGUCAAACUUGUCCGUUCUUGGUGUUCGUUUUGAUGCUUACGCAACCAGCUGAUCAUGUCGUCCAAUUUUUUUUGUUUCUUCCCUAACCUUUAAUAGGUGUUUACGGACGCAAGUGCGAGUCAUCAUGGAUACAUCCGGAGCCGGAACUUUUAGUGGCAACCAUGUCAUGUGCGACUGAUGACAUUCAGUGACGCAGUGGGUGAACGACUAAACACUCGACCACCUUGUAGCUGCAAAAGCCUGAGAAAGGAAAAGAAAACGCUAGACAAACUAACGAAGCGAAACCAGUGUUGGUGAAAGAGAGAGGAGGACGGUGACAAGAACGAGAAUUAGAGAGGAAAUACCGUCUACCCAGCACUGGCCACCCUGCUGAUCACUAGAUCGAUGCACCACCCGUUCAUCUCCUACCUCCCUCCGUUAAUUGCUUGCUGGAUCGCGUGGUGUAAUACCAUCCUGUUGACGGAAGAGUUCGCCGGCUUGCUUACAAAGGGUACUGGAUAUCAAUUCAUGGAUGCAGCCGUUCGUGGACACCAAGGCCCUUGGAACAUAGAAUCCAUAAACUUGGAAAACAAAGGAAGCUAGGGCAACUUAUCUAGCUAUUUCAUCGGCCAUCAUAUACCGCGCCGGAUGGAACUGCUUGGCGGCUCCUAUAUAUUAGGAUGCGUACUAGAUCUUGUUGUAUACAAUACAGUUUUUAAUUGUAUGACAAGUAUACUCUGGAUGGUGCCUUGUCGUCGCCGGCCGGUAUCAACGAAAUUUCCUCCGUUUUCUCCCAGAAGAAGGAAAAGAAGAAAGAGAAAUGAAUAAAAAGAGGGGCAGUCAAACAUGGGGACCGCGUGUGGGGGCGCUCUCAGAAAGAACGUAAUGGGGUCUUUUUCUCCCGAUGUACAGAGUAAAGCAACACUAUAAACUAAAGAUGGACAUGGCGGAAGGAAGGUACAGGGAAACAGCGAUUGACCAUGGCGACGCUCACCUCCCCAGCAGCCACAAACCCCACAGGAUCGGGUCGGUCUCAUCAGGUCGCCCGUGUCAGUGUGUGCUGUAGAAGGUUGAAUUUUCAAAAGGGACAAUGUGGCGUCACGUCCCACCAACCACUACAACUACACCUUUCAUUUGGAUCUCUCCAGCUUCCACACCCAACCCCACGGGUCUCACCAACCUCUGUGUAUGCAUUCGGAAGACCCUCCGACACCAACCCCACCCCCCUUACCAACA